This 4030-nucleotide long non-coding RNA is filed under the name Anolis carolinensis (green anole). RNAcentral's name for it is "lncRNA (ENSACAG00000041256.1)". The record is from RNAcentral. Lineage: Eukaryota; Metazoa; Chordata; Lepidosauria; Squamata; Anolidae.
GCACAUCAUAUGAAAGUUAAAAAUAUAGGCUGCCAUUCAGUAUUGCAGUUUAUGGAUUAAGGGUAAAGGUAAAGGUUUCCCCUGACGUUAAGUCUAGUCAUGUCCGACUCUGGGGGUUGGUGCUCAUCUCCAUUUCUAAGCCGAAGAGCCAGCGUUGUCCGUAGACACCUCCAAGGUCAUGUGGCCGGCAUGACUGCAUGGAGCGCUGUUACCUUCCCAUUGGAGCAGUACCUAUUGAUCUACUCACAUUUGCAUGUUUUUGAACUGCUAGGUUGGCAGGAGAGUUUAUGGAUUAAUAAAUGGGAAAUACUGAUCUGUAUUCAACAAAUACAGGAGGGGAAAAAAGGAGGAGUCCCCAAUAGUGCAGCGGAUUAAACCGCUGAGCUGCUGAACUUGCUGACCAAAAGGUUGACAGUUCAAAUCCGGGGAGCGGGGUGAGCUCCCUCUGUUAGCCCCAGCUUCUGCCAAACUAGCAGUUCGAAAACAUGCCAAUGUGAGUAGAUCAAUAGGUACCGCCCUGGCAGGAAGAUAAUAGUACUCCAUACAGUCAUGCCAGCCACAUGACCUUGGAGAUGUCUACGGACAACGCCGGCUCUUCGGCUUAGAAAUGGAGAUGAGCACCAACCCCCAGAGUCGGAAAUGAGUGGACUUCAUGUCAGAGGAAAACCUUUACCUUUACUAUUCAACAAAACUGUUGCAUAAUGCUUGAUUGUGUGACAAGCAACAACACCUGAAAUUCCCUCUUCCACAUAAUAGUUUCAAUCUUACAACACAACAUUAUGUUGAUGUAGUACAGCAGCUUGACCUGAAAGUACAUUCACUUCACUUCUUCACUUCACUUUAUUUCUUAAUUACUCUCUCUCCACCAGAGUGCUCCGAGCGACUUACAAUUUAAAAUAUCAUUCCACAAUAUAAAAACAUUCAACAUAAAAACAUUCAACAGUGACUAUUUGGCAAAUUGGAUCUGAUUACUUAAAUGCACAGCCAAACAGCCAAGUCUUGAGCGCUUUUACAAAAGGUCGCAACUCCGACAUUGCUCUAACAUAUGGAGGCAAUGAGUUCCACAGAAUUGGAGCAUAGGUCGAAAAGGCUCUACGUCUUGUAGCUUCCAGGUGUACCUCCCUAGGACCCAGUAUGUAUAGGAGAUUUUCCUGGUGUCCACUGAUGAAAAAAAGGAAUCAGGCCGUUCCCAAGAUAUAAUGGUCCUUGGCCAUUUCGAGCUUUAAAUGUCAGGAUCAGUAUCUUGUAAGAGAUCCGAUGUUCUGUUUGUAGCCAAUGCAGUUGUUUCAGAAUCAGUGUAAUAUGGGAUCUUAUAGAUGAUCCGGCUAGCAGCCUGGCCACCGCAUUUUGGACCAUUCGGAUCUUCUGGGUUUUUGUCUUCGGAAGGCCAGCAUAUAAGGCGUUACAAUAAUCCAACCUAGUGGUGACUGUUGCAUGGAUUACCGUUGCCAAUGCUUCUGUCGAGAGGUAGGAUGCCAAUUUCCUUGCCUGGCGAAGAUGAAAAAAGGCCUGCUUACUUAUGGCAGUGAUCUGGGCCUCCAUUGUCAGCGAUGAGUCCAACACAACCCCAAGGCUUUUAACAGUAGUAGAGGGAACCAGAACAUCCCCAUCAAAAUCAGGCAGUGACUGGAUUAACUCUGGUGGCUGGCCAGGCCAGAGUAUCUCAGUUUUUGUGGGAUUCACAUUCAGCAAACAAUAUGGCCACUUCUUCGUCCUCAUGCUUCAUGGUGCCCACCUUCCCUCAAACCUAAAUUUGGCCCUUAACAUGAACCAUGGAUAUUGGGUCCAAUGAACUUCCAUUCCAAGCAUCUCCCAGUCAUCCUCAGUUUACUCUCAUACUACUGUGGCAAAUGCAUGUAUGUGUGUAUAGACAACAAGUUCAAUUCAUGUUGUUAACUCCCAAGUGGUUAUUUAUCAGUCUGAUCCUUGCUGCCACAACAAGCCUCCUGGUGAAUGCUGCUCUUCUUUUCCUACCCUCAUUAUGCCUCCCAGCUGAUUGUAACAAAGUGCCAGAAUGAUCAAGCUUCUUGACCUUUACAAUUUCGAUGGCUGUCGCAGAAUUCUCAGCACUCCAAUGGUGCUCCCAAUAAUUGAGGUGUGCGUCCUUCUUUCCACUCUGCCAUUCUUGUGGUCUAAAGUGCCUUGCCAUCAUUCUAUUUUUAGACGAUACCAUUUUUAAUACUGCACUUUCUUCUCCAUGCACAGUGAAGACUUAUGUUUAAAAAAUCAUCAACUAAGCACAGUUAGUUCAUUUCACAUACUUCCUGUCUCCAGGACCCAUAGUUUUUUCAAGGGUCUCAAGGUGAUACUCUCUACUCUCUUUUAUUUUCGCAACAACCUGGUGAUGUAGAGGUAAGGUUUGUUCUAAGAUCACCUUUGAGUUUUCAUGCAAGGUAGGGAUUUAUUUAUUUACUAGCUGUGCCCAGCCACGCGUUGCUGUGGCUUGUCUGGUGGUGUUGGUGAGAAAUUGUUGAGGUAGUGGUGGUAUUGAAUGUCUGUUGUAUGGUUGUCUUUAUGUUUAGUAUGCACACUGAAGUGGAUUAUAUGGCAGUGUGGAGUCAAGAUAAUCCAGUUCAAAGCAGAUAAUAUAAGAUUCUAAAUGGGUUAUAUAACUGCUUGGAAGGGCCUUGAGUCUACACUGCCAUAUAAUCCAGUUAAAAUCUGAUAAUCUGUGGAAGGGGCCUAAGUGAGGCCUAACUGUGCUUGUCCCCUGGGCUGAGUGAGUUGCUAGGAGUCCAAGUGGGUGGAGCUUAGCCUUCAAACUGGCAGCAAUUGGAUAAAAACUAUUAUUCCUCUCCCUGUAAUUAGGACUUUAUUUUUCUUUUCUUUUUGUUGUAUCAACCUAGAGCCGUGAAUGAUGGGUUGUGUUGUCAUAUUUCGAGGUUGGGGGGCCUGUAGUUUUGUUGUUUUGUCCGCUGCCCUGAUGCCAUCACUCUUUUAUAUAUAUAGAUUUAUUAAACUUUAUUUAUUUAUUUAUUUAUUUAUUUAUUAGACUACUUCCAGUUUGGCUCGGAGUGGUUUACAGAAAUAGAUUAAAACAAUACAAUUAGCUUUAAAAUAACAAUAAAAACAGACAUAGCCCCGAGUUUUUCACCCAUCGAAAGUUUGUCGGAAGAGAAAGGUUUUGCAGGCUUUCUGAAAGGCAAGUAGGUCUCAGAUAGUUCGAGUUUCAACUGGCAAAACAUUCCAUAAAUAAGGGGCUACAAUCGAGAAGGCUCUCUGCCUAGUAGAAGACAAAUGAUAAGUCCGUAUGUUAGGGACUUCAAGCAAAUUUGAACCUGAAUUCUACCAAUCCCUCUCCAACACUCUCUCUUCCUUGGCUCAAUAUCUAUUUAUGGAACAAAAGUCAGCACUCUGAAACAUUCAUUUAAAGUUUGGACUAAAACUCAAAGUGGAUAUACUGCCAUAUUGAACAAGGAAGCAAGCCCUAGUGUGGUGUAGUGGUUUCAGCAUUGGAUUCAAAUCCACAUUCAAUCUGGAAACUUGUUAGAAUACCUUUGGCAAAUAAUACUCUCUUGGCUUCAGAGGAAGUUAAAGGAAAAUUUCCUCUGAACCAUUCUUGGCAAAAAAAAAAUCCCAUAAAUGAGAAAUGACUUGAAGGUGCACAACAACACAACAGGAGUUCUCCUGCUGUUGCAAAAACAACCAGAAUAGAAAACUCCAUGCAGAGGAAAUGCUAAGUCUUCCACCUUUCAUUCAUUUAUUCAUGCUAUGCCUUGUGUGCCAGAGUCAAGAUUUUAAUGCUCAUCCAAAGGAAGCAUGGGAUAGGAAGCCCCCUCUGAACAUAGCAAAUGAUGCUAAGAAGGUAGGCUUUUUUCCUUGGAUGGUGGUUUGAGAAGAAAAGGAGGAGGAGGAAAGUCCCUUUCCCCCUUUUAUAAACCUCCACGUGGAGCUGAGCCCAUGACAAAGAAACCUUGCCAAGAUAUUAAGAGUUCAGCUGCUCAGCCAAGCUGGGAAAAAAAGUGCAGGCGAGGCGAAGCUAUAAAUAAAACCUCUAGAAGAGGAAGACAGUAGCUACAAAGAGCUUUGU